UACGUAGGGCGCAAGCGUUGUCCGGAAUUAUUGGGCGUAAAGAGCUCGUAGGUGGCUUGUCACGUCGGGUGUGAAAGCUUGGGGCUUAACUCCAGGUCUGCAUUCGAUACGGGCUGGCUAGAGGUAGGUAGGGGAGAACGGAAUUCCUGGUGUAGCGGUGAAAUGCGCAGAUAUCAGGAGGAACACCGGUGGCGAAGGCGGUUCUCUGGGCAGUAACUGACGCUGAGGAGCGAAAGCGUGGGGAGCGAACAGG
This 253-nucleotide ribosomal RNA is filed under the name uncultured bacterium. Its description in RNAcentral is "partial 16S ribosomal RNA". It matches the Rfam family "Bacterial small subunit ribosomal RNA", at positions 524 to 776 of the family's 1533-position model. The record is from RNAcentral.